AGCCAUGCAUGUCUCAGACUCAAUUCUUUGCAAAGUCGAUCUGCGAAUGGCUCAUUAGAACAGACAUUAUCGAUACGAUGAUCGUGGCAAUAUGGAUACCUGUGACAAUAUUAGAGCCAAUACAUGAUUCCCUGCCCAACUUUACUGAAGGGCUGUGUUUGGUGAUUUACAAAAGUCUGCUUUGGAUAUGUCCAUUCGCCACAUGACUGGCACCAACCGAAUGAAUCGCACAGCGUGUGUGAUAUAUCGCUCAAGUUUCUGACCUAUCAGCUUUGGACGGUACGGUAUUGGCUUACCGUGGCAGUGACGGGUAACGGAGAAUUAGGGUUUGAUUCCGGAGAGGGAGCCCGAGAAAUGGCUACCACAUCUAAGGAAGGCAGCAGGCACGCAAAUUGCCCAAUCCUGACACAGGGAGGUAGUGACAAGAAAUAACAAUACUGGGCUUUCUAGUCCUGUACUUGGAAUGGAUGUUGAACAGAUCACUUCAUGAUCAUCAACUGGAGGGCAAGUCUGGUGCCAGCAGCCGCGGUAAUUCCAGCUCCAGUAGCAUAUAUUCAAGUUGUUGCGGUUAAAAAGUUCGUAGUCUAGGAUUCGCCGAGGGUGGCAGAUCUGCCCAAUGGACAGCUCAUGCUUCCCUGGUUGUGCUGUGGCUUAAUCUUGCGCUUGACUGCGCCGGUGCUUGUCCAUGGCUGAUCACCUCGAGGAAAUUAAAGUGCUUCAAGCAAGCGAGGGCUUGCAUACAUUAGCAUGGAAUGAACAUGUGGAGUCUCGGCGCUCUGUGAUGGCUUCGGGCACCGGGGAGAAGAUUAAAAGGUACAGUUGGGGGCACUCGUAUUUGACUGUCAGAGGUGAAAUUCUUGAAUUCGUCAAGGUCGUUCUACUGCGAAGGCAUUUGCCAAAGAUGUUUCCAUUGAUCAAGAUCGAAAGUUAGGGGAUCGAAGAUGAUCAGAUACCGUCCUAGUCUUAACCAUCAACGAUGCCAGCUGGAAAUCGGACGGUGCCUUCAUCAUGGGCCGUCCGGCGUUUUGUGAGAAAUCAAAGUCUUUGGGUUCCGGGGGGAGUAUGGUCGCAAGACUGAAACUUAAAGGAAUUGACGGAAGGGCACCACCAGGAGUGGAGCCUGCGGCUUAAUUUGACUCAACACGGGGAAACUCACCAGGUCCAGACACAAGAAGGAUUGACAGCUUGACAGAUCUUUCUCGAUUUUGUGGGUGGUGGUGCAUGGCCGUUCCUAGUUGGUGGAGUGAUUUGUCUGGUUAAUUCCGUUAACGAACGAGACCUCAACCUGCUGAUUGGGCAUAUGUGACUUCGUGUCAUAGUUGCACUUCUUAGAGGGACCAUGCAUGGCCAAUGUAAGGAAGUUUGAGGCAAUAACAGGUCUGUGAUGCCCUUAGAUGUUCUGGGCUGCACGCGCGCUACACUGAUGCGUUCAACGAGUGUACAACCUUGCCCGAUAGGGUUGGGUAACCUUUUGAACACGCAUCGUGAUGGGGAUAGAUUAUUGCAAUUAUUAAUCUUCAACGAGGAAUUCCUAGUAAUGAUGGUUCAUCAGACCGUCGUGAUUACGUCCCUGCCCUUUGUACACACCGCCCGUCGCUCCUACCGAUUGAGCAAUCCGGUGAAUAUUUCGGACCGACUGGCUCGGGGCAACCUGCUGCUAGUUGGAAAGUCAAGUAAACCUUAUGCUAGAG
This 1691-nucleotide ribosomal RNA is filed under the name uncultured dinoflagellate. RNAcentral describes it as "SSU rRNA". It matches the Rfam family "Eukaryotic small subunit ribosomal RNA". Lineage: Eukaryota; Dinophyceae. The record is from RNAcentral.